AGCAGAAAAUAGAAAUUAUGAAUCGCAGAAAUCCCGCCGGACGUCGCCAUCUGGAGGAAUCGCACAAUCUUCGCUGUUUCUUUCCAGGUUCCGUGGAGUCUCAGCAAAGAGAAGUCUUCACAUUGGCGCAAGUCAGAGAGCGAGAAAUAUAUAAUGAACAACUUGGAUCAGAGAAGACGUCGCCUACGCCACAUUAAGACUUGGGUUAAGGAUUGAUCUUUCCUGAGUUUAUGGUAGAAAAGGUCAAAUUUCCAGAAGUUUAUGGGAUGGAGGAUUCCUGGCGAGAAUCAGUCCUGAUCCUGGAUGAGGAAAACACAGAUGACG
Molecule: long non-coding RNA, 324 nt
Organism: Hyla sarda
Lineage: Eukaryota; Metazoa; Chordata; Amphibia; Anura; Hylidae
Exons: 3
Source: RefSeq, a predicted model, not a curated record